AUGAAAACCUUAUGCUGGAAUUAUCGUGGGAUUGGCGAUCCUGUGAUAGUCCGAAAACUCCGUAAUCUCGUGGAGCUGAGUAAGCCAUCGAUUCUUUGUUUAGUUGAAACCCAACUGCCGAAGAGUCGAGUAAAAGGCCUCCAUUUUUCGCUUGGUUUUGAUUUUAUCUUUGGUGUUGGUAGUAGUGGCAGGAAUGGAGGUAUUUGUAUCUUUUGGAACAAUUAUAUAGAUGUAUCAAUAAAAACUAUUCUCAAUAUCAUGUGGAUGGAUGGGUUUGUGAACCAGGGAGAGCUCAGUGGAGAUUGUCCUGCUUCUAUGGUGAAGCGAACAUAA
Molecule: ribosomal RNA, 333 nt
Filed under: Triticum aestivum (bread wheat)
Lineage: Eukaryota; Viridiplantae; Streptophyta; Magnoliopsida; Poales; Poaceae
Description: partial small subunit ribosomal RNA
Source: RNAcentral